RNAcentral lists this long non-coding RNA (297 nucleotides) under Manihot esculenta (cassava). Its description in RNAcentral is "long non-coding RNA (MESC_LNC005486)". Lineage: Eukaryota; Viridiplantae; Streptophyta; Magnoliopsida; Malpighiales; Euphorbiaceae. The record is from RNAcentral.
CUAUGUUCUUUGCCUUGCUAUGUGUGCUAGUGAGGAACAUUCGGGGACGAAUGUUCUUAAGGGGGGGAGAAUGUAAUACCCGGCUAGACUCCGGUAUCGGAAUUCCUACCGUCCGGUGGAAUUUCGGAUGUCGGGAACUUCUAGAAGGGUAAAGACAUGUUUUAUAAAAUGUUUUCAUGAAUUUUAAUGUUUUAAAGUAUGAAACUAAAUGAGUUUUUGCAUGAAAAUAGCAUUGGAGGAAAACCCAGGUUCGGCCGCCGAAAGUCAAGUUCGGCCGCCGAACGUGCAUGCGUUUUG